CUAUAUGUACCCUGUAGAUCCGAAUUUGUGUGAGGUACCCAAGUCACAAAUUCGUUUCUGCAGGUAUAAUGUAGC
Branchiostoma floridae (Florida lancelet) is the source of this 75-nucleotide non-coding RNA. The record is from Rfam. Lineage: Eukaryota; Metazoa; Chordata; Leptocardii; Amphioxiformes; Branchiostomatidae.